Molecule: ribosomal RNA, 843 nt
Filed under: Triticum aestivum (bread wheat)
Lineage: Eukaryota; Viridiplantae; Streptophyta; Magnoliopsida; Poales; Poaceae
Description: partial small subunit ribosomal RNA
Source: RNAcentral
AUGCAUUGGUUUGCACGGUGGAGGUUGUGCAUUCCGAAGAAGGAAGGGGGACUUGGGUUUAGAGACUUGCACAGUUUUAAUCUUGCGAUGUUAGCAAAAUAAUGCUAGCGACUAAUCCAGAACUCGGACUCUUUUUGUGCACAAGUGUUGAGGGAAAAAUACUAUCCAUAUGGCGAUAUUUUGAGAGUUGGCCCAAAGAAAGGAUCAUCUUACACAUGCCAAAGCAUUAUUGCGGGUAUCCAGACAUUUAAGAGGGGUUGCAUUUGGCGUGUUGGAACAAGGUCAAAAAUUGACAUAUGGCAAGAUACAUUGAUUCCAUCGAGUGUGUCAAGAAGAGUUAUCACAGAUAGGGGUGCAACAAUGCUCUCGAAGAUGGAAAUAAUAAAUCCUUACACAGGACCGUGGCAUGAGGAUCUUAUUCAUGAUGUUUUCUCACCUGUUGAUGUCUAUAGGAUCCUACAAAUUUGUUUGAAUGCUCAUAUGAGAGAAGAUAUUGUAGCUUGGAAUUAUACACGAUCAUGCACUUUUUCUGUACGGUCUGCUUAUCAUAAGGAGUUCGAGUAUCAACAUGGAACACGUCUGAUGAGAGCUGAUGGUCAAGGUAGAGAACAAGUUAAUUCUGUUUGGAAGGGUAUGUGGAGGCUGAAAAUACCAGGAAAGAUUAAGCAUUUCGCAUAGAUGGUUUUGCACGGCGCACUCCCAUGCUUGGGGGUACUAGUAAACCGACACAUUCCCUACUCACCUCAAUGCUCGGUGUGUUCGAUCGGAGAUGAAGACACCCAACACUAUUUGUUUAAAUGUCGACGAGCAAUGGAAGUUUGGGAUCAGUUGGGCUUGUUGUAA